Molecule: transfer RNA, 86 nt
Filed under: Candidatus Zixiibacteriota bacterium
Lineage: Bacteria; Pseudomonadati; Candidatus Zixiibacteriota
Also listed under: 1 other name
Description: candidate division Zixibacteria bacterium tRNA-Leu
Rfam family: tRNA
About the family: Transfer RNA (tRNA) molecules are approximately 80 nucleotides in length. Their secondary structure includes four short double-helical elements and three loops (D, anti-codon, and T loops). Further hydrogen bonds mediate the characteristic L-shaped molecular structure. tRNAs have two regions of fundamental functional importance: the anti-codon, which is responsible for specific mRNA codon recognition, and the 3' end, to which the tRNAs corresponding amino acid is attached (by aminoacyl-tRNA synthetases). tRNAs cope with the degeneracy of the genetic code in two manners: having more than one tRNA (with a specific anti-codon) for a particular amino acid; and 'wobble' base-pairing, i.e. permitting non-standard base-pairing at the 3rd anti-codon position.
Source: RNAcentral
GCCGGAGUGGUGGAAUUGGUAGACACCAGGGACUUAAAAUCCCUUGGGCCAUAAGGCCCGUGUCGGUUCAAGUCCGACCUCCGGCA